GGUUGUGGAAGAUGAUGCCUCUGGGGUCUUUAGCCAACUUAGCCUCUCAUGGCUAACCCUCAAGGCCACGAUGCCGUUUAAUUAACUCUACUAUCUUUACCCUUCGUGCAGCGUGUAUAUCAGUUUGUCAUAUCUCUAAUUUCAUGCCUUGGCCUUAAAUUAGCUCUACUCUUGCUCUUUUGUGUCUGCUUAUCAAGUGGUGAACUAAAGUUUAUUGCUUAAAUCCCGCCGGAGAAGUAAUUAUGUUUUUGACGGAGUCUCUCCCUAUCCUUAAUAGAGGUUGCUUGGCAUCCUUCAAUGGAGGUUCUCCUGAAGUUGUGCUUUCAAGUUCGUUCAUUGUCUUCCUCAGGCAAUCCAUGACUCGAUAGUUUUUGGCUCGUGUGCAUGAACAAUGCACCUUUCUAUGGUUGGAUCCUUCUUUACGGGUCAAAUACCCAUUAGAUCCUAGGG
Molecule: unclassified non-coding RNA, 450 nt
Filed under: Hevea brasiliensis (rubber tree)
Lineage: Eukaryota; Viridiplantae; Streptophyta; Magnoliopsida; Malpighiales; Euphorbiaceae
Source: RNAcentral